GACGAACGCUGGCGGCGUGCUUAACACAUGCAAGUCGAACGAUGAACCCGGAGCUUGCUCCGGCGGAUUAGUGGCGAACGGGUGAGUAACACGUGAGUAACCUGCCCUUGACUCUGGGAUAACUGCGGGAAACUGUAGCUAAUACCGGAUACGACCCUCGGCGGCAUCGCCAGGGGGUGGAAAGAAUUUCGGUCCAGGAUGGACUCGCGGCCUAUAAGCUAGUUGGUGAGGUAACGGCUCACCAAGGCGACGACGGGUAGCCGGCCUGGGAGGGGUGCCGGCGACACGGGGGCUGCGACACGGCCCAGACUCCUACGGGAGGCAGCAGUGGGGAAUAUUGCACGAUGGGCGCAAGCCUGAUGCAGCAACGCCGCGUGAGGGAUGACGGCCUUCGGGUUGUAAACCUCUUUUAGUAGGGAAGAAGCGAAAGUGACGGUACCUGCAGAAAAAGCACCGGCUAACUACGUGCCAGCAGCCGCAGUAA
RNAcentral lists this ribosomal RNA (484 nucleotides) under uncultured bacterium. Its description in RNAcentral is "partial 16S ribosomal RNA". It matches the Rfam family "Bacterial small subunit ribosomal RNA", at positions 28 to 523 of the family's 1533-position model. The record is from RNAcentral.